Molecule: long non-coding RNA, 313 nt
Filed under: Phoenix dactylifera (date palm)
Lineage: Eukaryota; Viridiplantae; Streptophyta; Magnoliopsida; Arecales; Arecaceae
Description: long non-coding RNA (PDAC_LNC015057)
Source: RNAcentral
UGACCCCUUUUAAUGGCCUCCGAAUUUUCAUUCAAAAUUCGAAAUUUAUCUUCAGAAAACCUUCUUUAGUUGGCGCAUGCAAAGGAAUAGGAACAACCCAAAUCAGAUCUCAACCAAAUCUGAUUUAAAUUCAAAUUUUAAACAUAUGUGCAAGAAGGGAGGAAUUUGAAAUCCAUGCAGCAGAAUUUUCCUUCCGCUUGUCGCAUAUAUUUCAUUUGAAAUUCGAAUUUAAAUGAUUCAGAGGUUCACACGCCAGCUAGGGAAGUUAUUUGAUGUAUGAAAUCAUUUAAUAUAUUGCUUAAUGUUUGAAUUC